Pygocentrus nattereri (red-bellied piranha) is the source of this 831-nucleotide long non-coding RNA. NCBI's taxonomy places the organism in Eukaryota, Metazoa, Chordata, Actinopteri, Characiformes, Serrasalmidae. The record is from Ensembl.
GAUAAUAUAAGCCAAAUUCCUUAUUGACUUCAUCUUUACCUGACAGAAGUGCCAUCCACAUCCUAUUACAGACUUUAUUCAUCUCCUCGACAUCCUAAAGGCUUUCACUUUUGCCCUCCCAUGGAUCAGCCAGGGCAGCAAGGACCUCCAGGGAGGAGAGCAGGGCCCAAUGAAAGACGUCCUUUGCAGGAAGACAGACUUCCCUGCUCCCCAAUGGUUGGAGGAUCCUGGAAGACUGGCGAACCAGGAGGCCUCACCAGAGCAGGCUUUGCCACAACAACCCAAUCAGCCAGGGGAGCAAGGACCUCCAGGGAGGAGAGCAGGGCCCAAUGAAAGACGUCCUUUGCAGGAAGACAUAGACUUCCCUGCUCCCCAAUGGUUGGAGGAUCCUGGAAGACUGGUGAACCAGAAGGCCUCACCGGAGCAGGCUUUGCCACAACAACCCAACCAGGUCUCUGCCAAAGAAAAAUUUCGCUAUAAAGCAUCCCUGCCUACCUUAAACAUCUCGUAUUGUUUAACUGUACCUUGUACCUUCUCUCUCUUGCCUAUUAUUUAUGUUUUGUCUUCUGUGCAAAUUUCUCCCCUGUCAUCUCCCCAGCAGCCACCUGGAGGCACUGGAAGACAGGAGAACUAGAGAACAGCAUUCCCCAUGAUUGUCACUCCAGGAGGACAUGGACUUUCAUCUUUUUUCAUGGCUGGAGAGUGUAGCAGUCCAUAGAAGGUGGAGAGCAGCUGGAAAGCAUCACUAUUCCACGAUCAUACAAAGCAUUUUCUCUGGGAAAUUAUGAAUUUCUGUUUAAAAGAUUAAUAAAACUACUGUCUGAAACAACA